ACUAUAGAUUUUUGGUUAAGAAUUUACUUUUAUAACAUAAAUGGAAAAUAAAAGUUUAUUUAGAAUUAUAUUCUUUUUGCAUAACGGGUCAACUAAAAUUAUCUCUUAUUAGAUUUCCCGAAAAUAGAAGAUCUAACUUACUUCUUGUAAUAGAAAAUAAAUUAUUAUGUUGAAUUAUAAUAUGAAGAAGGUAAUUUAGGGGUGAAACGAAACGCCUACAAUUCUAUUGAUAUCUGGAUAUAAGAUAAAAGUAUUUAGUACUUAAAACAAUUAUAGAGUGUUUAGACUUUAUAAUAAUAGAAUAUUUAUUAAUUUACUUAAGAUAAGGACUAAUAAUUCCUAUCUUAUUUAUUUGUUAUAAUUAAUUUUAUAUUUGGAUCUAUUUCUUUUCUUUUUAUUAAUAAUAAUAUCCUUAUUAGUAAAUAAUGUUGGCAUUAGUAAUAAAUUUAUUAUAUAUUUAAAUGCAAAAAAGGAACUCGGCAAAUAUUUACCUUAACUGUUUACCAAAAACAUAGCCUUAAGAUUUUAUUUAAGGUGACGCCUGCCCAGUGCUAAAUGUUAACGGCCGCAGUACCCUGACUGUGCUAAGGUAGCAAAAUCAUUUGGCUUUUAAUUGGAGUCGGGAAUGAAUGGAUUAAUAGGGUGAAGCUGUCUCUUUUGUAUUUUAUUGAAUUUUCUUAUUAGGUGAAAAUGCCUAUAAGUAGAAAAAAGACGAGAAGACCCCCGGAACUUUUACUAACUGUUAAAUUAUAUUAACUACUGUUUUUGUUGGGGCAACAUGGGAAUAAUAAACUUUAAAACUUCCUUUAUCUAUAUGCCGACUUAGUAUGAAAAAUUAAGUUACCCUGGGGAUAACAGCGUAAUUCUUUUAGAGCUUGCGACCUCGAUGUUGGACUAGGAAUUUGGUUGGCUAGCCGCCAAUUUAUAUGGUUCUGUUCGAACUUAUUUUCCUACAUGAUCUGAGUUCAGACCGGCGUAAGCCAGGUCAGAUUCUAUCUUUUAUUGUUCUAUUUUUAGUACGAAAGGAUUAAAAUAGAUUACUUUGU
RNAcentral lists this ribosomal RNA (1046 nucleotides) under Elysia ornata (ornate elysia). Its description in RNAcentral is "16S ribosomal RNA". The stretch from base 681 to 1046 matches the Rfam family "Bacterial large subunit ribosomal RNA", at positions 2049 to 2710 of the family's 2925-position model. Lineage: Eukaryota; Metazoa; Mollusca; Gastropoda; Plakobranchidae. The record is from RNAcentral.